RNAcentral lists this long non-coding RNA (323 nucleotides) under Elaeis guineensis (African oil palm). RNAcentral describes it as "long non-coding RNA (EGUI_LNC048402)". Lineage: Eukaryota; Viridiplantae; Streptophyta; Magnoliopsida; Arecales; Arecaceae. The record is from RNAcentral.
GGAGAGGUCCCUUUAAAUAGGCAUGAGGAUUGAAUCCUAUUCAAUCUCAUAAUACAAGUCCUACUUACAUUGGAUUUUCUAAUAACUUAAGUUAUUCAACUUACAUUAAGAAUCCUAUUAGGCACCAACUCUUGGAGCCCUUGCACCCAUUAUUUCACACUCUCUUUUGUACCCAAGGGACAUCCCAUAUGAGAUCCAUAAGCCCUCUAAUCAUGGGACACGUCCAACUUGAUCCAAUCAAGGUGGCACCCCAUAAAAACUAUCAAGAGAAUUAAUUAAGAACUUGCACCCUUAAUUCAUAUGAUCCAAAAUCUUAGACACCC